AGUGAACGCUGGCGGUAGGCCUAACACAUGCAAGUCGAACGGCAGCACAGUAAGAGCUUGCUCUUACGGGUGGCGAGUGGCGGACGGGUGAGGAAUACAUCGGAAUCUACUUUUUCGGGGGGGAUAACGUAGGGAAACUUACGCUAAUACCGCAUACGACCUACGGGGGAAAGCAGGGGAUCUUCGGACCUUGCGCGAUUGAAUGAGCCGAUGCCGGAUUAGCUAGUUGGCGGGGUAAAGGCCCACCAAGGCGACGAUCCGUAGCUGGUCUGGGAGGAUGGUCAGCCACACUGGAACUGAGACACGGUCCAGACUCCUACGGGAGGCAGCAGUGGGGAAUAUUGGACAAUGGGCGCAAGCCUGAUCCAGCCAUACCGCGUGGGUGAAGAAGGCCUUCGGGUUGUAAAGCCCUUUUGUUGGGAAAGAAAAGCAGCAGGUUAAUACCCCGCUGUUCUGACGGUACCCAAAGAAUAAGCACCGGCUAACUUCGUG
RNAcentral lists this ribosomal RNA (492 nucleotides) under uncultured bacterium. RNAcentral describes it as "partial 16S ribosomal RNA". It matches the Rfam family "Bacterial small subunit ribosomal RNA", at positions 29 to 507 of the family's 1533-position model. The record is from RNAcentral.